This 251-nucleotide ribosomal RNA is filed under the name uncultured prokaryote. Its description in RNAcentral is "partial 16S rRNA". It matches the Rfam family "Bacterial small subunit ribosomal RNA", at positions 525 to 775 of the family's 1533-position model. The record is from RNAcentral.
ACAGAGGUCCCAAGCGUUGUUCGGAUUCACUGGGCGUAAAGGGUGCGUAGGCGGUCGGGUAAGUCUGACGUGAAAUCCUGGAGCUUAACUCCGGAACUGCGUCGGAAACUAUUCGGCUAGAGGAUUGGAAGGGGGACUGGAAUUCUCGGUGUAGCAGUGAAAUGCGUAGAUAUCGAGAGGAACACCCGUGGCGAAGGCGAGUCCCUGGACAAUUCCUGACGCUGAGGCACGAAAGCUAGGGGAGCAAACAG